This is a long non-coding RNA of Zingiber officinale, 1202 nucleotides long. RefSeq lists it as uncharacterized. The transcript is spliced from 4 exons. The record is from RefSeq and is a predicted model, not a curated record. NCBI's taxonomy places the organism in Eukaryota, Viridiplantae, Streptophyta, Magnoliopsida, Zingiberales, Zingiberaceae.
AGAUAUUAUUGGGCCAGCCGGUUGCCCAACGCGAGAUCACAGCGGAAAGGCCUUUCUGGCGGCAGACGAGGUUGAUCGGGCCGGAGCGACCAAAUCGGAUCUGCGGCGAAGGAACCGUGGAAGCCUUCAUCGUCGCCGGCGGGUGCAAUGAGCCAUCGUGCUUGCUGGAUCGGAACUCGUCCUUCGUGCCGUGAUGGUGACAGGCGCCCGCCACGAUGAGGUGGCUUCAUCUCUCUGGAGGUUCGGAGGAGGAGCUGUCGCCUCAUCGACAAAAUGCACUAUUCCAGGUGUUUUGACAUGGUAAGUAAGCUUGCUGGAAGUUAAAUGGCGAGGAAGAUGCUCAUGCCGAAGAAGAACCUGAACUGCCAGGUUGCCAUCUUCUGAGGAAAUGCCUGCUUAUACUCCAGAAAAUGUCCAAUACUUCAAAGGUUUCAAUCAGAUAAUACUUACAAGGUGAAAGAAAAGAUGAAAGUGGCAGGCGGUCGACAACGACAGCAACAACAUGGCACGACAGUAGUUGGGCAAUCGACAUUGGGGAAAGAACAAGACGUGACAUCGAUGGAGGUGCGCGACAACAACUCAUCGCACAAUGGUGCGAUGUUAGAUCAUGCGGUGGAACAACGCCUCUAGCAUGCGAGGGAAGAGACACGGACUGGUGGCCUGCUGAUGGCUGACAAUCAUGACACCAGGGAAGAAGGCAGCUCGUAGUGGGGAAGGGCAAGCAGGCACCGAGAAAGUAGAUAGCAUCGACGGUGGAUGCAACGACGACGGAAAACAACACCGAUGUUGAGGGGCAUAGGCAUCGUCGACGGCUAAGAAGGGAUCAGAGCACUGUUGAUUGUUCAUAGCGGGGACCAAAAGGUAGUAGCGAUUCUCUUUGCUACUUCCGACGAUAAGGGAAGCAACAAUGACAGUGAAAGCCCUGGGUAGUCGACACACCGACAGCAAGGUGCCCUUGUUAACUUUGGCGAAGCAAGACAGUGAUUGCCGGCUUCAGCUCGAAGAUGAGAAAGUGAGGGACAGGGCACCGAUGUCUCGCGUGGACAGAGGGGACACUAUCGGUUGAACGUGCGACGGUGGACGCGUACGUCGAGGGAGAGGAGCGACAAUUUAAUCAUGAACUUAGGGUUUAUUAUAAACUUAGGCUAAUUGAUAUUAUUAACUCCUUAGGUAUUUUAAACAUGCUUUAUCUUUUAUCCAUA